This 497-nucleotide ribosomal RNA is filed under the name uncultured bacterium. RNAcentral's name for it is "partial 16S ribosomal RNA". It matches the Rfam family "Bacterial small subunit ribosomal RNA", at positions 28 to 523 of the family's 1533-position model. The record is from RNAcentral.
GAUGAACGCUGGCGGCGUGCUUAACACAUGCAAGUCGAGCGAAGCACUUUACUUGGAUUUCUUCGGAAUGACGAGUUUUGUGACUGAGCGGCGGACGGGUGAGUAACGCGUGGGUAACCUGCCUCAUACAGGGGGAUAACAGUUAGAAAUGACUGCUAAUACCGCAUAAGACCACAGCACCGCAUGGUGCAGGAGUAAAAACUCCGGUGGUAUGAGAUGGACCCGCGUCUGAUUAGCUAGUUGGUGGGGUAACGGCCUACCAAGGCAACGAUCAGUAGCCGGCCUGAGAGGGCGACCGGCCACAUUGGGACUGAGACACGGCCCAAACUCCUACGGGAGGCAGCAGUGGGGAAUAUUGCACAAUGGGGGAAACCCUGAUGCAGCGACGCCGCGUGAAGGAAGAAGUAUUUCGGUAUGUAAACUUCUAUCAGCAGGGAAGAAAAUGACGGUACCUGACUAAGAAGCCCCGGCUAACUACGUGCCAGCAGCCGCCGUAA